Molecule: ribosomal RNA, 253 nt
Filed under: uncultured bacterium
Lineage: Bacteria
Description: partial 16S ribosomal RNA
Rfam family: Bacterial small subunit ribosomal RNA
Source: RNAcentral
UACGUAGGUGGCAAGCGUUGUCCGGAUUUACUGGGCGUAAAGAGCGCGCAGGCGGUUGUGCACGUCGCGUGUGAAAGCCCCCGGCUCAACUGGGGAGGGUCACGCGAUACUGCUCGACUUGAAGGCAGGAGAGGGAAGUGGAAUUCCCGGUGUAGUGGUGAAAUGCGUAGAUAUCGGGAGGAACACCAAUGGCGAAGGCAGCUCGCUGGGACGUUACUGACGCUGAGGCGCGACAGCGUGGGGAGCAAACAGG